GCUCCAAUAGCGUAUAUUAAUGUUGUUGCAGUUAAAAAAGCUCGUAGUUGGAUUUCUGGUGGGAGCGGCCGGUCCGCCGCAAGGUGUGUACUUGGUUGUCUCCUGUCAUCCUUGUGGGAACUGCUCUGGCAUUAAGUUGUCGGGGUUAGGGAACACAUCGUUUACUGUGAAAAAAUUAGAGUGUUUAAAGCAGGCUUAUG
Molecule: ribosomal RNA, 200 nt
Filed under: uncultured eukaryote
Lineage: Eukaryota
Description: partial 18S ribosomal RNA
Rfam family: Eukaryotic small subunit ribosomal RNA
Source: RNAcentral